This is a non-coding RNA of Oryctolagus cuniculus (rabbit), 1678 nucleotides long. The record is from RefSeq and is a predicted model, not a curated record. Lineage: Eukaryota; Metazoa; Chordata; Mammalia; Lagomorpha; Leporidae.
CACAUCCCCCCCCUUUAGAAUCCAGCCUAAACCCACAAGAAUGGUUGCCUGCUAAUCUGGCAAACUGAAGAGUGGGGAGCAUUGUAGAUCUAUCAAGAGACCUGAGCCAAGUUCAUGGUGCAGCUGCGUGAGACCGAUGUGGGUGACCACCCCAGGGAGGCUAUGCUGUCAAAGAAGCUAUAAUGCAGGGCGGGAGCCAGGCCCAACACAAAAGCCUAAAGAUCUCACACCAGGGACACAGCCUGCAGAACUGUUCGUGAAGCCCUGGUGUUCCAGAGCUUGUCUUAGGAACAGAGAGUGGUGGGGAAAGGGGCGAGAAUCACACAUACCAGGCUGCACUGGCAAACACUUUGUGGUGGGGACAGCCCAGGACUGAGGAUGCAAUACAGCUCCAGGGCUGCUGACUGGCUGCAGAAUAAGGAAAAUGAGGUGUACUGGACAGCCAGGACUAGCCCAACAUGGUGUCUGGCUGCCAUUUGGCACUAUGAAUGUCCAGCCCCGGGCUGACCGUGGUGGCAGAUUCACAGACCCAGCACCUUAGGCACUACAGGCUCGCAGUGCUUGGCUAAAAGCUAUAACCUGCCAUGGGCCCUGCUGGAGUCACCAGCCCCAGAAACUUUGCAUAAGAGAACUCCAGGGCACACGUGAACUUGUCUGGUUUGCACAAGUGCUGUAUCUGGUUCCCUCUCAGAGGGGGCAUUCACCUAUGUGCUACUCCUGUGACCCCCUCCUGAUCAGAAGUAAACAGCCGUUCACAUACCAGGCUUGCAGCACCUUGGCCUGGAGGCUUCUAGGCUACACAAUGGGAUACACAAACAGCCUGUGCCAUCACUCAAGCCUGUCUGGAUAGGUAGAGUUGCAGAGUUGUGACUUUUUUUCAUGGCAGCAACCAGUUCUCUGUGUUCUACUCUCCUGCUUUGUGUCAUGUGUAUGAACCUUGAGCCCAGCUCAGGGACCUCAUAACCCCAGCCCUAGGGUACACACACAAGCCCCAGGGGAGCUAGGCAGGUGACACCUAAGGGAUGCCACAUUCCCGCCUUUGGAUUCUGGCCCAAACUCCACAAGAAUGAUUCCAUGCCAGUCUGGAAAACUGAAGACCCAGGACAAUUAUGGGUCUAUUGGGAGACCUGGGACAAGUUCACAGUUCAGCUCCAUUAACAGGUACAGUGACCACCCCCAAGGAGGCUGUGCUGCCACAGAAGCCAUAAGGUAGGGGCAGGAUCCAGGCCCAACACCAAGGCCUAAAGAUCCGGGGUCUGGGCCACAGUUUCCUGAACUUCUAAGGAAGCACUGGGGACCCGGGGGAUGGGGGGAGAAGAGUCUGUCCUAGGUUCAGAUAGUGGGGGGAACAGAUACUGUCCUAGGUUCGGAUAGUGGGGGGAACAGACACUGUCCUGGGUUCGGAUAGUGGGGGGAACAGACACUGUCCUAGGUUCAGAUAGUGGGGGGAACAGACACUGUCCUAGGUUCAGAUAGUGGGAGGAACAGACACUGUCCUAGGUUCAGAUAGUGGGAGGAACAGACACUGUCCUAGGUGCAGAUAGUGGGGGGAACAGACACUGUCCUAGGUUCAGAUAGUGGGAGGAACAGACACUGUCCUAGGUUCAGAUAGUGGGAGGAACAGAUACUGUCCUAGGUUCAGAAGUGGGGGGAGCAUGUCCUAGAUUGAGAGAAGGGU